GCUUACGAGCGAGAGAAUACCGCCCCAGUUGGAUCGGCGAUCGGCUUCUCCGAUGAUCCCGCGGUGGUGGCGGCGGCGGCGGCGGCGGCGGCCUUGCGUGGGGGCAUGGGCGCGUAGACCACGGCGGCUCCCUCCUCCCCUCCGCUUCCUCAGGUAAGAAGAUUUGCUGAGAACAGAUUUAUAUUGUUUGCAAAGAAGAUACGAUUGUAAGAAGAUUUGCCAAGAACAAACUUACUUACAUUGUUUGCAAAGAAGAUACGGUUGUAGUGGUACUUUUCAAGAGGGUAGAUCCAGGAGUUGGCAACAAACACAAUAGUGCCACAGCCAGGGACAUCGUUGAGGAUGAUGGUCUUGAGGAAAAACUUGGUGCUGUGGUGGUUCUUGACAAUGAUGGCUCCUGGCACACCAUGCUUGUCCAUGUCCCAGUCGAACCUUACCUUGAAGUUGGAUUCUGCAUGUGUUAGCGAUGGUAAGUUUGACAACCCUUGCUCCAUCUUUGCCUCUGAUCCAACAAUGCCCCUGCCCCCAUUGUCUGCAGAAAGUAUACAUUCAACAGACAUUAGGUUAGUCACUUUAUUUGUGUCACUGGUGCUUUGCAGCUCGUUUCCUUCAAUCUGUGCUGACCGUCAAUUCUUUCUACAUAGCAAAUAUGCACAGGCUUGAGUAAAGUAAGUAAGGAGAAAUAGAGUGGUACUUGGAUCGGUGACAGUGGCACUGACAAGUUGGCAGGUGAUGCUGUUGCCAACGAGCUCUUGGAUGUUGUCGAAGAGUGAGGCAGUGAAGUCCCUUGGGUCCAGUAUUUUUCGGCUCAUCAGCACAGCCGUGCCUUUGAUCUUAUUUGCAUUUUUCCCUGUCAGCUUGUCCUUGAGCCCUCCCAGCAUCUUGCGAUACUGUUAUCACUGGCAAAAGUCUCUUUGUUGGUGGUAGUGGUGAUGAUGGGGUGUGUGUGUUGCAGUUGCAAUCGAUAGGGAGGAGCUCAGCGGUGGAGAUGAGUGUUUAUAGAAGGGGGCAAGGGAGGUUGGUGAUGUCGGUGUGGCUGUGGGUACCGGCUAUUUCUUGUAUGUUAAUGCAAUUAUGCAAGUGGAUAUUUCAUUUGGUUAUCAUUUAAGGAAGACCGAGCCCCAAGGCGUCAACUAGCUCAUUCACUUGGGCAACACACAGAGCUGACAAGGAAUCAUAAUUUUUACUCGUAUGAAGCUCAAGUUGUCAAGUUCAUGUUGGCAUUGAAAUGAACCAUUUGUGGACCUGAGCAAAGUUUUGGGAUAUGCUGCCAAAAUAUUCAUUGUAGGAUCACUUUGCGGUUUUCAUGGGUGUGAAUGCGUGAUACACAUGGCCGUCCUACCUGUUAUCAUAAUAUUUUUACAUUGUCCUUUUUAUACUGAGGUUUUAACCAUAUAGAAGUUUUGGCUUUCGAUUAGUAUCAGCUGUCAAGUCUCCUGUUAAAUAACUACCUGUUGAUCUCUUGGCUUUACUUGCUGGCAGAGUGGCAGGCACUUCAUCCGCAUAAUAUCUAAAUCGCCCCAUGGUGUGACGCCCAUUGACGACGACCUGAGCUACGGGCCUAAGGUGUGUUAAAGCUUUACUCCAAUCUUGGAUCUUGCAAACUGCAGUCUCAGAUUUAACUGGGAACAAAUGAAAUGAUGGGCAUGUGGAUAUUUAGGACAUGUUUGCAAGUGACCGUCUGCAGUCACUGGCCAAUUGCUUCCAUGAGUGUGCAGUGUUCUGUUAUCCAUCCAUCUCUUAAAUACUCCGUCUUACAAUACUUCUUAUCUCUCCAAAGAAUUCAUAUCGUGAAAGAUUCGUUGUAAAAAUGUGAGCCACAAUUGAACCUUCCAAUCAUAAAUGCAUGUGCUUCCAAUCAUAAAUGUAUGUGCU
This is a long non-coding RNA of Oryza brachyantha (malo sina), 1875 nucleotides long. RefSeq lists it as uncharacterized. The transcript is spliced from 3 exons. The record is from RefSeq and is a predicted model, not a curated record. NCBI's taxonomy places the organism in Eukaryota, Viridiplantae, Streptophyta, Magnoliopsida, Poales, Poaceae.